RNAcentral lists this ribosomal RNA (922 nucleotides) under Chiloplacus propinquus. RNAcentral describes it as "SSU rRNA". It matches the Rfam family "Eukaryotic small subunit ribosomal RNA", at positions 39 to 966 of the family's 1831-position model. The record is from RNAcentral. Lineage: Eukaryota; Metazoa; Nematoda; Chromadorea; Rhabditida; Cephalobidae.
AAAGAUUAAGCCAUGCAUGUCUAAGUAUAAACGAUCUAAUCGUGAAACCGCGAAUGGCUCAUUAUAACAGCUAUAAUUUACUUGAUCUUGACACUAUCCUACUUGGAUAACUGUGGUAAUUCUAGAGCUAAUACAUGCAUUAAAGCUCUGACCUCACGGGAAGAGUGCACUUAUUAGAACAAAACCAAGCGGCUUCGGCUGUUUUCGGUUGACUCAUAGUAACUGAGCUGAUCGCACGGUCUUGCACCGGCGACGUGUCUUUCAAGUAUCUGCCGUAUCAACUUUCGAUGGUAGUGUAUCUGACUACCAUGGUGAUCACGCGUAACGGAGGAUAAGGGUUCGGCUCCGGAGAGUUCGCCUGAGAAAUCGCGAACACAUCUAAGGAAGGCAGCAGGCGCGAAAAUUACCCACUCUCAGCACGAGGAGGUAGUGACGAAAAAUAACGAGACCGUUCUCUUAUGAAGCCGGUCAUCGGAAUGGGUACAAUUUAAACCCUUUAACGAGUAUCUAUGAGAGGGCAAGUCUGGUGCCAGCAGCCGCGGUAAUUCCAGCUCUCAAAGUGCAUAGAAUUAUUGCUGCGGUUAAAAAGCUCGUAGUUGGAUCUGUGCCAUAGGACGUGGUCCACCUUCUGGGUGCGUACUAUGUUCCUAGGCUUUUUGCUGGUUUUCCCGUCGUAGCCUUCAUUGGUUGCGGCGGGUGGCUGGCGAGUUUACUUUGAGAAAAUCAGAGUGCUCAACACAGGCGUAUCGCUUGAAUGAUUGUGCAUGGAAUAAUAGAAAAGGAUUUCGGUCCUCUUUUAUUGGUUUUGUGGACUGAGAUAAUGGUUAACAGGGACCAGCGGGGGCAUUCGUAUCGCUGCGUGAGAGGUGAAAUUCUUGGACCGUAGCGAGACGCCCUACUGCGAAAGCAUUUGCCAAGAAUG